Molecule: microRNA precursor, 82 nt
Filed under: Aotus nancymaae (Ma's night monkey)
Lineage: Eukaryota; Metazoa; Chordata; Mammalia; Primates; Aotidae
Description: miRNA (ENSANAG00000009242.1)
Source: RNAcentral
GUUGGUGCAAAAGUAAUUGCAGUUUUUGCUGUUACUUGUAACAGCAAAAACUGCAAUUACUUUUUCAGUAAUGUAAUAUUUA